This 299-nucleotide unclassified non-coding RNA is filed under the name Hevea brasiliensis (rubber tree). The record is from RNAcentral. Lineage: Eukaryota; Viridiplantae; Streptophyta; Magnoliopsida; Malpighiales; Euphorbiaceae.
AAAUUAUAUAAAUAAGCUAAAAUCAUAACACAUCUAUAGGCAGGCUUCAUCUCAUUAUUUAACAGCUCAUCAAAUCUACAAAAUUAACUUAAAAUGUCCUGCUGAUUGAGCAUAGUUGUCAUAAUAAUCAAGGCCAGUAAAUUGAUAACUAGCCCUUGCUGAAUGUUUAACCCUUCAAAAUCUAACUGGCUACUGAGAAUAGUAGAUGCCAUAGAAGCACCCCUAAUGAUGCAGCAUAUUUGAGUUUCUUGCAGCAUCACCAGGGUAAAUACUCUUUAAGAUGGAUAUUGCCAUUGGAA